GCUGAGCCAAAUCUGGCAGGUGGAAGUUGGCGUCCCUUGAUUAAGAAGUUGAGUAUCACAAUCAAAAGCGGUUCUGUAAGGCCACUACGACACUGAACAGACACGUCGAUGGUAAAGAAACUCUGAAUUAAAUUGUUAAGCCUGUCUCACUCUGACUACAAACAACAAAACGUUUACAACGUGGUUUAAAUGAAACAACCGUUAGUUUCAGUUACAGUAACGCUAGCGAGUGUUGCUAAUGACGUUAGCUAACGUGCUAAGCUAGCAGGGACGGAGAGGAAAUGAAGACUGUCAACAAAUAAACAAAAGGACUGUGAGAGGAAGAAGACUUCUGUCAACAAACAAACUAAAUGACUGAGAGGAGGAAGACUUCUGUCAACAAACAAACUAAAUGACUGUCAAAGAGGAAGACUUCUGUCAACAAACAAACUAAAUGACUGUGAGAGGAGGAAGACUUCUGUCAACAAACACACUAAAUGACUGUGAGAGGAGGAAGACUUCUGUCAACAAACACACUAAAUGACUGUGAGAGGAGGAAGACUUCUGUCAACAAACAAACAAAAUGACUGUGAGAGGAGGAAGACUUCUGUCAACAAACACACUAAAUGACUGUGAGAGGAGGAAGACUUCUGUCAACAAACAAACAAAAUGACUGUCAAAGAGGAAGACUUCUGUCAACAAACAAACAACAUGACUGAAAACAGCAAGUGCAGUUGGACAUCCCUGUGAAUCAAAGGAGAAUUGACUUCGACAACAAAUCUCUGUUUUUUUCUUCUCCUCCAACCUUGGAUGCUUCUGUGAGCUGCUAUUCGCUUGACAAUAGGCCACGUCUGGGAUUGAAGCUGCAGUACUUGAUGAAGUUUUCUAACCUCUGGGUGUUUUCAAGGAUUGUGGCGAUGAAAACAGUAUGAAUACAGGCUGGGUCGAUACGUAGAGCCAAUCGGUGUCAUUCACUUUGUUAUUGCUAAACAUUUUUAACAUAAUGUACAGCAAAAGAAUCUAUGUGAUGAAGUGUUUAGUGCAAUAAGUUU
This 1031-nucleotide long non-coding RNA is filed under the name Cottoperca gobio. RNAcentral describes it as "lncRNA (ENSCGOG00000011014.1)". Lineage: Eukaryota; Metazoa; Chordata; Actinopteri; Perciformes; Bovichtidae. The record is from RNAcentral.